CUGGCACUAACAAGAAUGCCAUAGUAAAUAUCACUUGGUCAAUUGUUUCCAUUUUUCUGUGUUGACAGUAUCCUGUAUUUCAGACCUUGCUGCAGUUGGAGUGCUCAGUCCUGGUGCUGGGGCUCUAUCACUGUGCGAAGUUCAGUCUCAAACCUAUCAUACCUGCUCCAGGUGCCAAGUUGUGAAACCUUGAUUUCCUGAAAUUUGGGACUCAGUAGCAGGAUGACUCCUCAGGCCAGGAAUCUCUCCAUCUUUGUACCUCAGCUGAAAUCAAGAUUCCUCAGACCAGGCUAUGUCUUCAACUGUCCAGUUUUGGUGAGCCUGUGCCCACUGCAGCCUCAGCUUUCUGUUCUUGUCUGACAGAAGAAGAACCUGACAGAGCCUUUUGCCAGUCUUUCUCAAGGUUUGACUUGUUAUCCAUUCUGAGAUGCUUGUUGUCUGAGUUACAGUAGCCUAUCAGUCAGAUUGAACAAGUCUGGCAAGUUGAUCUCUUGAAUUCUAGUGGCUGCUUUCUUCUGGCACUAUCAAGCAUGUUACACUUAAUAUCACUAAGACUUGGUCAGUUUUUCUGUGUUGUCUGUAUCCAAUAUUUCAGACUUUGCUGCUGUUGGAGUGCUCAAACCUGGUGCUGGGGCUCUACCACUGUGCAAAGUUCAGUCUCAAAUCUAUCAUACCUGGUCCAGAAAGGCACAUUGCUUCUGUCCUGAUGUCUCACAGAAACUGACAGCUGCAAUUUCUGUUGAAAUUAAGAAGAUUGGAACUUCCUCGAAGCAGGUUUGAAGACAUUACAUGACACUACAUUUCUAAUGCUUUAUUUCACAUUAAAAAUUAGUUAAGU
This 838-nucleotide long non-coding RNA is filed under the name Astyanax mexicanus (Mexican tetra). Its description in RNAcentral is "lncRNA (ENSAMXG00005019104.1)". Lineage: Eukaryota; Metazoa; Chordata; Actinopteri; Characiformes; Acestrorhamphidae. The record is from RNAcentral.